Non-coding RNA from Salvia hispanica, 700 nucleotides. NCBI's taxonomy places the organism in Eukaryota, Viridiplantae, Streptophyta, Magnoliopsida, Lamiales, Lamiaceae. The record is from RefSeq and is a predicted model, not a curated record.
UAUGUAGUACUAGUAGUAGUAUUCAUUAGAGUGUAUAAUUUAUUCACGUGAGGUUGUCCAUAAGCUUAUUCUUGGAAUUAUUUUCCUAUGUACUCUGCUAAAGAGUGGUAUAAAUGUGCACUCAAUGAUUUAUCAUAUUUUCUACUUUUGGCUAUGCACAGAAGGAAGUAUGGUCUAUGGUGAUGUAUAUAACACGCUUAAACUCAAUGUUUACAGAAUUGACACAGUCAAUUAUCACUGAAUUUAAUGUAUUUGUUUUACAGAAUCAAUUGGAGUAAAGGUAGCUAUUAUUACCCUGAUAAUACAUUUCGAAAGAUUUAAGUUUAAAGUCUAACGGCGGAUGUAACCUCAGAAGCUUAUUAGAUAAUAGUUUAUGAUGUCUGUUAAUAUAUUCUAUUAAAUGUUCUGUUGUAGCUGUGUGGAUUUGAUGUUGGUUAAUUUCAGAGAGGAGCAGUUCUUAAAAAAUUAGACUUGGAGUUGAAGGCAUGAGUGCUGGGGCUAGAGACUGCUGGUUGUAUUGUACCUCUUGAGGUAGCAUAUGGAAAUUCCUCCCAAUGCAACAACCAUUGAGCUGGACGUUGAGUUGCUGACUAUCAAACAAAACUCAUUCGGGUUGCCAAGUGUGUCAAAAUCAGGUUGCCCGAUCUAGUUCUUCUGGCUGUUGUCAGUUGAUGAUGCAUGGAGAUAAUAGGGGAUUGUU